CAACGAGUCCUUGAAAUUACCGG
This 23-nucleotide microRNA is filed under the name Oikopleura dioica. RNAcentral's name for it is "odi-miR-1479". Lineage: Eukaryota; Metazoa; Chordata; Appendicularia; Copelata; Oikopleuridae. The record is from miRBase by way of RNAcentral.